GGGUGUUGGUUGUGAUGGGACCCUGAGCUCAGGUGGGGUGUUGGUUGGGUUGGUUGUGAUGGGACCCUGAGCUCAGGUGGGGUGUUGGUUGGGUUGUUUGUGAUGGGACUCUGAGCUCAGAUGGGGUGUUGGUUAGGUUGGUUGUGAUGGGACCCUGAGCUCAGGUGGGGUGUUGGUUGGGUUGGUUGUGAUGGGACCCUGAACUCAGGUGGGGUGUUGGUUGGGUUGGUUGUGAUGGGACUCUGAGCUCAGGUGGGGUGUUGGUUGUGAUGGGACCCUGAGCUCAGGUGGGGUGUUGGUUAGGUUGGUUGUGAUGGGACUCUGAGCUCAGGUGGGGUGUUGGUUAGGUUGGUUG
Molecule: long non-coding RNA, 355 nt
Filed under: Pan troglodytes (chimpanzee)
Lineage: Eukaryota; Metazoa; Chordata; Mammalia; Primates; Hominidae
Description: long non-coding RNA NONPTRT003742
Source: RNAcentral